RNAcentral lists this long non-coding RNA (1224 nucleotides) under Anser cygnoides (Swan goose). Its description in RNAcentral is "lncRNA (ENSACDG00005018982.1)". The record is from RNAcentral. Lineage: Eukaryota; Metazoa; Chordata; Aves; Anseriformes; Anatidae.
AUGCUUUGUGCAUCCCACAGGACAAGUCCCAGCACGCCAGGCACCGACAUCUCCAUCACCGGGACGUUGCGCGCACCCCGGGCACCCCGGCACCGCCCGGCGCCAGCAGAAGCUCCCAGAGAAGCUGGGGAGAUGCGUUUUGGGGCCAAAACGGGUGGAUUUGUGGGGCCGGGCGGGCAGCCGACCUACCCGCUCGCUGAUGGCGUUGUACUUGAUGGCCAGCUCAUCGCGCUCGGCGCGGCUCUGAGCCAGCAGGUCCUCGAGGCGCGACAGCUCCUGCUGCAGGAUGCGGUUCUCCUCCUGGAGGGACAGCAGCGAGGACAUGGCCCCGGGGACGGCCGCUGCGGGAGGGGACAGGGCUCAGGGGAAGGAUCCGGCCGCAGGAGGGAUCCCUGCGCCUUGCCACCACGAGCUGCUUUGUUCCCUCACCCUCUUCUCCCCCAGCUGCAAACGCUUCCCCCCGGGCCGGGUCCCCCAGAGCAGCUCAGCCUCGCUUUUUGCAACCGCAAAACCCAAACUCUGCAACUGCAAAAACCGCGGGGGCAUUUGGGCAGCGGCAGGUUUGCAGCGGCUUUUGCCGCUGCAUUUCCCGCGACGGCAGUCUUUGCGACUGCAGAUUUUGCGAUUGCAGAUUUUUGCAAAACCCGCUGCAAAUCUGCCGACUGCAGCACCAGAACUGCUCGGCGGCCGCUCCCGCGAGAGGAGCACCAAGUUCCCACCUCGAUCGCAGCCUCCGACUUCGGCGUGCUCAUGGGCUCCCCCCCCCUUUCCUCUGCUUUCAGCAUCCCCGUGCCCCCAUCCCAGCCUGGUUUUUGGGGCUCUGCUUCCGCUCUGCAAGCGGAAAGCGGAUGCAUGGCCAGGAUUAGCCCGAAAUCCUCGCCUUCCCCUCCCAGGCUGGGGCCCUCCUCUUCCUGGCUGUGUCCGCAUGCCUCGGGGGUCCUAACGCCUCCGCCGAGCGCUGCUUCAGCCUUUGCUGAGAAACCACGGGAUAUUUGCAAAGCCGAAGUUUUUGCAAAUCAAAACAAGCAAGCGAGGCUUUUUGCUUGCAGAGCAGGAAGGGAGGAGAUUUCUUUGGUAGGGCAAAAAAAAACAAACAACAAACAGCAGCGCCAAGCACCCCCCCCCCGUGCCCCAAAGCGGUUAAAACGCGCUCACUUUGCUCUGCCAUCCCCCGAUGCGCCCCCUGUGCAGCUCCCCGAGCUUGGGAUCUCCUUUACCUGGUAG